AGUUGCCUCGGCCUUUGGCCUUGUCAGGUUACACUGAGAAGACAGCUAUCUAUGAAUCAGGAAGCAGAGCUUCACCAGGCACUGAAUCUAUUGGCAUAUUGAUCUUGAACUUCCCAGCCUCCAGAACUGAGAAAUAACUCUCUGUUAUUUACAUACCACUAUUCUAUGGUGUUUUGUUAUAGUAGCCCGAAUAGACUAAGAUAAGUAGAUAAUAGCAGAUAGCAGAUAUGGUUUAGAUGGUGUCUUAAGACUUUGAGGUAGAUUUCAGGUUCUUAAAUUGGGGAACCCAAUCAGUGAUAAGUGGUUUGAAUUCUAUUAAUGUGAAAUAUAGUAAUAAAGCCUCAUUAACAACAGGGAUUUGGCGAAGUGGAAGAGAAGGCUUAAAGUUCUAUUUUCAGAUAAAAUGAGCACGAAGAAGAGAAAACAGAAAACAUCCAUUGAAUCCUCUGCCUCUGGUAAUGUAUGGCUCCCAGUAUGCCUCCUUCAAGAGCAUGACUGACCCAAUUACUAGUAUGAGCAAAAGGUAUCUAAAGUAAAUGGCCUUAUGUAUAAUCCUGAAUUAUAAAUGGCUGAAGAGGAACAGCCCCAGUCUGCAGCGCCCAGGGAGACCAACGCAGAAGGCAGAAAGUUUCAGAAAGGUGAUGAAAUUUAAGCUGGGCUUUAAAGGCUACAUCAAAUUUGACAAAUGGAAUUGUGAGGAAAGCACAUUAGAAGUAAAGAGUGAACCCACAAAAACAAGAGAACAUCAUGUUUCUAGAGGCUGCCUGCAUUCCUUGGCUAAUGACUUUGCAUCACUCUGACGUCUUGCUCCCAUGGUCGUAUCACCUACUACUGGCCCUGAUCUCACUACUUGUUAUAUGGAACAAAGGGAUAAGGAAGUGACUUGCCUAAGUCACUGAGGAACCUAAUAUUGAGAUUAGCACUCAAUGAUUCCUGGCUCUCAGAAUGUGUGCUGCUACCACCAGGCCACACUCUUCCCUCCAGAGAGAAGAUGUGUCAGCACGGAAUUGUGCUGAAGCAAAGAUGUGAAAUAGAAUGAUUACAUAUCUACCUAGUGGGAAGAUCUGGGGAAGAAUCUAUCAGUGCUGGCAGAGAAGCAAACCAUACGACAUCACUCAUCCCCAGAAAGUGAAGUUAAGGGAAAUAAAAAACAAUCUACACCAUUUAGAAAACACAGCCACCCCAUACCCUUGGAAAAAAUACACUAAAAUAUCUUCAUCUGAUUUGACCUCUAAUAACAUGAAUAAUUGUCUUAUAACUCACUUUCUUACCUCUUGAUUAUUCUACAGAUCCGGCACAUAUGAGCAAAAUCUGAUGAAAUUCACUCAUUUAAUUUGAAGAUUUUAAUUAUGUAGAAAAA
Molecule: long non-coding RNA, 1360 nt
Filed under: Homo sapiens (human)
Lineage: Eukaryota; Metazoa; Chordata; Mammalia; Primates; Hominidae
Description: HSALNT0376131
Source: RNAcentral